Molecule: ribosomal RNA, 490 nt
Filed under: uncultured bacterium
Lineage: Bacteria
Description: bacterial SSU rRNA
Rfam family: Bacterial small subunit ribosomal RNA
Source: RNAcentral
GUAAACGAUGAACACUCGCUGUUUGCGAUACACAGUAAGCGGCCAAGCGAAAGCGUUAAGUGUUCCACCUGGGGAGUACGCCGGCAACGGUGAAACUCAAAGGAAUUGACGGGGGCCCGCACAAGCGGAGGAACAUGUGGCUUAAUUCGAUGAUACGCGAGGAACCUUACCCGGGCUUGAAUUGCACUCGAAUGCAGUUGAAAGAUUGCAGCCGCAAGGCGAGUGUGAAGGUGCUGCAUGGUUGUCGUCAGCUCGUGCCGUGAGGUGUCGGCUUAAGUGCCAUAACGAGCGCAACCCUUAUCUUCAGUUACCAUCGGGUAAUGCCGGGGACUCUGAAGAGACUGCCGUCGUAAGAUGUGAGGAAGGUGGGGAUGACGUCAAAUCAGCACGGCCCUUACGUCCGGGGCUACACACGUGUUACAAUGGGUGUUACAGAGGGCAGCUCCACGGCGACGUGUUGCUAAUCCCUAAAACCACUCUCAGUUCGGAU